AACGAGACUCUGGCCUGCUAACUAGUCGGCGGAUCACCGCAAGGUGUCCGUCGCACCUUCUUAGAGGGAUAAGCGGCGUCUAGCCGCACGAGAUUGAGCAAUAACAGGUCUGUGAUGCCCUUAGAU
Molecule: ribosomal RNA, 126 nt
Filed under: Syncarida sp. Peel_R_Sync1
Lineage: Eukaryota; Metazoa; Arthropoda; Malacostraca
Description: partial small subunit ribosomal RNA
Rfam family: Eukaryotic small subunit ribosomal RNA
Source: RNAcentral